GAUGAACGCUAGCGGCAGGCCUAAUACAUGCAAGUCGAGGGGUAGAAGAGGCUUGCUUCUUUGAGACCGGCGCACGGGUGCGUAACGCGUAUGCAACCUACCUUCAUCUGGGGGAUAGCCCGGAGGAAUCCGGAUUAAUACCGCAUAAAAUCACAGGAUGGCAUUAUCCAAUGAUCAAACAUUUAUGGGAUGGAGAUGGGCAUGCGUGUCAUUAGCUAGUUGGCGGGGUAACGGCCCACCAAGGCGACGAUGACUAGGGGAUCUGAGAGGAUGGCCCCCCACAAUGGUACGGAGACACGGACCAGACUCCUACGGGAGGCAGCAGUAAGGAAUAUUGGUCAAUGGAGGCAACUCUGAACCAGCCAUGCCGCGGGCAGGAAGACUGCCCUAUGGGUUGUAAACUGCUUUAUUCGGGAAUAAACCUUAUUACGUGUAAUAAGCUGAAUGUACCGAAGGAAUAAGGAUCGGCUAAUUCCGUGCCAGCAGCCGCCGUAA
Molecule: ribosomal RNA, 495 nt
Filed under: uncultured bacterium
Lineage: Bacteria
Description: partial 16S ribosomal RNA
Rfam family: Bacterial small subunit ribosomal RNA
Source: RNAcentral